Molecule: ribosomal RNA, 253 nt
Filed under: uncultured bacterium
Lineage: Bacteria
Description: partial 16S ribosomal RNA
Rfam family: Bacterial small subunit ribosomal RNA
Source: RNAcentral
UACGUAGGUGGCAAGCGUUGUCCGGAUUUACUGGGCGUAAAGAGCGCGCAGGCGGUCAGAUAAGUCGAAUGUGAAAGCCCCCGGCUCAACUGGGGAGGGUCAUUCGAUACUGUUCGACUCGAAGGCAGGAGAGGGAAGCGGAAUUCCCGGUGUAGUGGUGAAAUGCGUAGAUAUCGGGAGGAACACCAGUGGCGAAGGCGGCUUCCUGGCCUGUUCUUGACGCUGAGGCGCGAAAGCGAGGGGAGCAAACGGG